This 513-nucleotide ribosomal RNA is filed under the name uncultured bacterium. RNAcentral describes it as "bacterial SSU rRNA". It matches the Rfam family "Bacterial small subunit ribosomal RNA", at positions 264 to 768 of the family's 1533-position model. The record is from RNAcentral.
CUUACCAAGGCGACGAUCCGUAGCGGGUCUGAGAGGAUGAUCAGCCACACUGGAACUGAGACACGGUCCAGACUCCUACGGGAGGCAGCAGUGGGGAAUUUUGGACAAUGGGGGCAACCCUGAUCCAGCCAUGCCGCGUGAGUGAAGAAGGCCUUCGGGGUUGUAAAGCUCUUUCGGUUGGGAAGAAAUUGCUUCGGUUAAUACCCGGAGUAGAUGACGGUACCAGCAUAAGAAGCACCGGCUAACUACGUGCCAGCAGCCGCGGUAAUACGUAGGGUGCGAGCGUUAAUCGGAAUUACUGGGCGUAAAGCGUGCGCAGGCGGUUGUGUAAGUCAGAUGUGAAAUCCCCGGGCUCAACCUGGGAACUGCAUUUGAGACUGCACGGCUAGAGUGUAGCAGAGGGGGGUAGAAUUCCACGUGUAGCAGUGAAAUGCGUAGAGAUGUGGAGGAAUACCGAUGGCGAAGGCAGCCCCCUGGGCUAUUACUGACGCUCAUGCACGAAAGCGUGGGGAC